RNAcentral lists this long non-coding RNA (4361 nucleotides) under Sus scrofa (pig). Its description in RNAcentral is "lncRNA (ENSSSCG00000061916.1)". Lineage: Eukaryota; Metazoa; Chordata; Mammalia; Artiodactyla; Suidae. The record is from RNAcentral.
CAGACUGCUUUUCUACGACUGGAAUUUAGAGCAAAACACCCAGGUCACACCCUUCACUCAGAGUAAACUUAAUUUAGUCUGGAGUGGACAAUUUGUGGAAUGAUAACUUGCUUAUUUUCCAUGUUUAUAAACCAUUGUGGUCUUAUUGAACAGGAUAGUUAAUGUCUGUCACCAAUGUAAUUUCAUUAAUUGCUCAAUUUAACUCUCAUGGAAAUACACGUGCACAUGCAUAGUCAACAGCUAAAUUCCGUGGCAUGUUACUGUUAGUUUUGAAUUGUUUCCCAAUCCACAGUGAAGACUAAAUGCUGUCCCUGUAGCAAAACUGAACGAUAUGAAAGAGAUUAGAAACUCCUAUUCCAGUGAUUUGUAAUUAUACUACCUACCUGGUAACCUUGCCUUCAUUUUUCCACUCAGGCUUGAAAAAAAAUAUAUUGAAGGCUAGACAUAUUUUUAAUUACUGUGUCAUUGCCAUUCUUAUUUUUGUCUUUUAUCUUCCAACACAUCUAUUCAUUCAUUCAUUCAACAAUUACUGAGCAGCACCUGAAAAAAACAGGCAGGAUAUGAAGCAAGGGAAAUAAAACCACAGAUGAGAUAAAGAGGAAUACUCAGGAGUCCACGUUACAAUUGGUGGAGAAACAUGAUUUAAAAUGUAAGCACAUGAAUAAAAUAAUUACAGAUUAUAAAAUAUUUAAUAAAGGGAAGAAGCAGAGAAUGAGUGAAGCAGAAGCAUGGUAGUGAUUUCAAACAGAGCUGGCAGAGAAAGCUGAGAUGCACAGCUGAGGCUUGGAGAAUGAGAACCAGGCAGCGCUCUGAGAUCCUGUAGAAGAGCAGUCCACCCUGAAAAUUAAUUAGGAAAAGGGGCUAAGAAUCUGGGGAUCGUAAAGGUAGGAUUUAAAAUGUCAAAAGGGAAGACUCUGGGAGCUGAGAGGCAGUGGGAUAUUUGGUCGUAAUAGAAAAUACGCAGAGCAGUAUUUUGCUGGCCGUCCAUGAGAAGAAGGCUGACCUGAUAGACCUGGGCUUUUGGAAGAAGCUGAGGUACCCACGGCAUAUGAGGCAUGGUGAGGUUACAUAAUUCUUCCAAAGAAAGCUGGGCAGUUAUUAAAAAGUUAUAUCCUUGUAUCAACCUGAUGAAGUCAGGCUUCUCAUCAACUUCCCUCCUUAGCUUGAGAUGAGGGGCCAUUUAGGGCUGAGGUAUUAGGAUUAUCUUUGCAGGUGCAAAGAUAAGGGGGGGGGCGGCCGCCCCUGGAGAAUUUUUUUCAAGCAGAUUUGAUGAGAUAAAGAUGGGGGACAUGAAAGGCUGCCGAGGAGUUUCCCUUGUGGCUCAGUGGUGACGAACCCGACUAGUAUCCGUGAGGACAGAGGUUCGAUCCCUGACCUCGCUCAGUGGGUUAAGGAUCUGGCAUUGCCCUGAGCUGAUGUGUAGGUUGCAGAUGUGGCUUGGAUCAUGCAUUGCUAUGGCUGUGGCGUAGGCCAGCAGCUGCAGCUCCAAUUUGACCCUUAGCCUGGGAACUUUCAUAUGCUGCACAUAUAACCCUGAAAAGCGAAAAGAAAAAGGCCAGCAAGCACUGACUCUUCUAUAACUCUUUCUGAGAUGGUUUUCUGGGGUAAAGGCAAUGAGGAUGUGAGUCACUUUCCUUCAAGUGGAGUUAUAUUGAGGUUGAUUGGUUCAUUACCACACCCUAGUUUGAGGGUAAAAAUUCUCAUUUCCUUCAAUGAGCUUAUAUAACAAGAGUAAUGGAAUAGAUAUCACAUAGAAUAAACUGUUUUUAAAUCUCUAGGCUCUGAUUUUUAACCAUAUAAAUGUAGCUGUUUCUCUUUUUGCUUUUUCUCAGCUGGCAACCUAUAGACCAUUGUCCCAAAUUAAUGCCUUUUCAGACAUUACGGAUAAAGGAAUGAAUAUCAGCUCUUUGUUUAUAUGUUGUCUGACUCUAGUGGUGGAAGGUCACUAUAAUCUUGCCAUGUUUUUAUUAUUGUUUAUGAUUCUACACAGAAUAAUUACCUUAAUAAGCCUCGCUUGGUUCAUUUUAAAGAUCAAUCGUGUAUGCUGAUGAGAAACUUGUAAUUAAGAAAGGCUGGGUAUCUUCCAACAUAAUUGAAAUGAAGUCAACAAUUCCGUAAUAUUACAGUACUAUUUUCAUCAAAUUAUGAUCUAUUUUAAUUGCAUUUUUUUCUUUUCUAAAAUGAAAGGCUAAGUUAUCUAAAAUUCCCAUACAUAUGUGUGAAAAAUCAGUUGUUAAUUAACAUUGAUUUUGAAGUUGUCAGUGAAAACCAUUUUAUCCUUUUAAACUCUCCUUUAGACAUCAGUGUCUGGGGUUAUGCAGUGUUUUCCUGUCGCUUUGCUUUUAUGUUUAAACUUCACAUCUUUAUGCAGGGGCGCAGUACCAUUCACUAUACCCAAUGGAAUAAGUUAGAAGGGACGUAUGCAUUCUACUAGGCUUUUUUAUGAUUGUCUUUAUCCUACAUUGACCAGUAGGGUCCUGAUUUGCACGUUUCUACCUUUGUUAGCAAUUUCAUUCUACCCUCAACCUUAUCCUGGCCUCUUUCACUUCUGAGAAUGAUGACAAUAAUAAUUUGUUUUUCUUUUACCUUUUAGGAUGUUGAGAGUUGGGCUGUAUCUCCUCCCUGACAAAAAUAGGAUACAGUAGCAUGCAUGCAAAAUUAUCUUCAUAUAGAAAUACGUAGAUCUCUCUUCAGGGAUUUUUAUUCUCUUUCGGAACUUGUAUAUAGUGAAAAUUUAAGAAGGCACAAAGCGUAUUGAUUUUUGUACAUGAUUACAUUACCUACCUAAUCAGCCUUAUUGUAAGUCCCCAUGUUGCCUUGUGUCUUCCUGUGUGUUAGUCUCCACAUCAGGUCAGUUUUAUACUCAUGCGUGACUUAUUUUCGAAAUCUCUCCUAAAUGGGUUUCUCUUCUUUAUUCCCACUGUCACUGACCAAUGUCCAGUCCAAAUUGAUCAUCACAUUUUCAGGACCCUAAAAUAACCUUACACGUAGUUUUCUUGCUUUCCCUACAUCUUUUUUUUCCCCCAGAAAUAAACUAUUAAAAUAGUGAUUGCAUCAUUGAUGAUAUUCCUCAGCAAACGAAAAGAUGAUUAGAUAAGCGGCCCUCCAGCUCAAUACCUCCUCAUGGCAACAUUUCUUUCUAACUGCAUCUCUCAAAAUUCCACAUCCUACGUCCAGGCACACCAAAGGGUAAGCUCUUUUCUAAUAAAUGCAUCAGUUAAUAAAUAAUUUUCAAACUGCAGUGACUGCAUUUGAAUUUCUCAUGUCUUGCAAUGCCCUUUCCUGAGCUCCUAUCCUAGGUGGUUCUGCUUCGUUCAUAUAAACCGUCAUCGCUAUCUGCCUUUUCCAUGGCCUUGUCACCUUCUGCCUCCCCAUAAUACUAACAGAUCAAGUCAUUGCUCAAAUUCAGCAUCGUCAGAAAAGCCUUUCACAAUUCCCGUGUGUUUAUAUUUCGUCUCUUCUCGUACCCUGCUUUAUUUGUUCUUACAGCACUGAUCACUAUGUCAUGUUCUCCUUCCCUUAUAUAUUUACGUAUCUGUUUUUUAAUUGCCUUCACCCUGAGAAAGUAAACCUUAAGCAUAGACUUUAUUUGUAUCAUUGCUUUAUUCCCAAAGAAUAGAUUAAUGCUUGUCAUGUACUGUGCCCUCAAAAGUGUUUCUUUUUCAUAAAAUGAUGAAUGGCAGUACAGUGUGUAAGUUUUGACUAACAGAACAUACAAUAUUAUGGUAAGUACCCAUGUGUAGCUACAGUUUAGAUAGAUUAUUGGGAAACUAGUGUGUUAAUUUUCAUUGUCAUCUGUUAUUUUUUAUGAAUACUGGUAGGGGAAAAAUUAACCACCAUAGUGUUUUGUUCUAUUUGUAAAUAUCAAAUUUUAUGUUAAUUUUAACAUCAUAAUUAUAUUCUGAAAUAGUGUAUCGUGUUCUUUAACUGAUGAAUUAUUUUUUAAUUUUGUUUUUGGUGGUCACAUCGAUCAUUUCUCUAAUAGUCUAUGAAAUAAUUAAAAGCAAAUGAUUUUCAAUAAAAUUGAAAAUUUUCUAUUUUGAAAGAAAAAAUAAUAAAUACUCUCUUAAAUGUUAAUGAGCCGUAAGAAGCUGAAUGAAAAACACCUCCGUAAUGCUAUUAGGGAAUCUGUAGUCACUAUAAUAGGUUUGAUUGUAAUUUAUUUCUGAGUAUUAUUGGAGAAGAAAAAUCUUACACAUACAUGUUAUUAUAAAACUAGUGAAUAGUCAUAUAUAAAUAUCUUUUUUUUCCUUUUUUUUUUUUUUUUUUUUUUUAGGGCCACUCCCGUAGCAUGUGGAGGUUUCCAGGCUAUAGGUCAAUCAGAGCUGCAGCUGCCAGCCCACACCACAGCCACAGCAACA